Molecule: ribosomal RNA, 497 nt
Filed under: uncultured bacterium
Lineage: Bacteria
Description: partial 16S ribosomal RNA
Rfam family: Bacterial small subunit ribosomal RNA
Source: RNAcentral
GAUGAACGCUGGCGGCGUGCCUAAUACAUGCAAGUCGAGCGAAAGGACGAGUAGCUUGCUUUUCUGAUGUUAGCGGCGGACGGGUGAGUAACAUGUGGAUAACCUACCUAUAAGACUGGGAUAACUUCGGGAAACCGGAACUAAUAACGGAUAAUAUUUUCAACCGCAUGGUUCAAAAGUGACAGACGGUCUUGCUGUAAUUUAUAGAUGGAUCCGCGCUGCAUUAGCUAGUUGGUAAGGUAACGGCUUACCAAGGCGGCGCUGCAUAGCCGACCUGAUAGGGGGAACGGCCACUGUGAGACUGAGACGCGAUCUAGGGUCCGAGAGAAGGCAGCAGUUGGGAAGCGAGGGAGAUGGGCGAAAUCUUGACGAAGCGACGGCGGGUGGGUGCUGAAAGGCUGCGGGUCGUAUGACUCUGUUAUUAUUGAAGAACGUAUUUAUAAGGAGCGGUGCACGUGUUGACGGUACCUAAACAGAAAGCCACGGCUAACUACGUG